UACGUAGGGUGCGAGCGUUGUCCGGAAUUAUUGGGCGUAAAGAGCUCGUAGGCGGUUUGUCGCGUCGACUGUGAAAACCUGGGGCUUAACUCUGGGCCUGCAGUCGAUACGGGCAGACUUGAGUUCGGUAGGGGAGACUGGAAUUCCUGGUGUAGCGGUGAAAUGCGCAGAUAUCUGCAGGAACACCCGUGGCGAAAGCGGCGAGCUGGAUCACUACUGACGCUGAGGAACGAAAGCUAGGGGAGCAAACAGG
Molecule: ribosomal RNA, 253 nt
Filed under: uncultured bacterium
Lineage: Bacteria
Description: partial 16S ribosomal RNA
Rfam family: Bacterial small subunit ribosomal RNA
Source: RNAcentral